This 296-nucleotide long non-coding RNA is filed under the name Hordeum vulgare. RNAcentral describes it as "long non-coding RNA (HVUL_LNC007466)". Lineage: Eukaryota; Viridiplantae; Streptophyta; Magnoliopsida; Poales; Poaceae. The record is from RNAcentral.
GAUUAAAAUGGGUGGGCAAACACAAUACGAAACGCUCUUGUGCCCACUUACAAGUUUUUUACCAAACAAUGACUGCCAUAUGUUGUUUAUGUAACUACCAGAUUAGCUGAGGGACAUUACCAGGCCGUCUGUUAGGAUUUGCCAUAUUGUUGUAACUACCAGACUGUAGAAGAUAACUACUAAUCAGGUUGUCCAGGUGAUAUUACCUGCUUGUUCCUUAGCAGUCACCAUGUUUUUUGUAACCACCAGAUUGUCUAGGCGAUAUAACCAGGUUCAAGGCUGUCUAACUAGCUAUU